This 352-nucleotide ribosomal RNA is filed under the name uncultured Methanolinea sp. Its description in RNAcentral is "bacterial SSU rRNA". It matches the Rfam family "Archaeal small subunit ribosomal RNA", at positions 83 to 444 of the family's 1478-position model. Lineage: Archaea; Methanobacteriati; Methanobacteriota; Methanomicrobia; Methanomicrobiales; Methanoregulaceae. The record is from RNAcentral.
CUGUUCAGUACACGUGGACAACCUACCCUCAGGAGGGGGAUAACCCCGGGAAACUGGGGAUAAUACCCCAUAGACCAGUGAUGCUGGAAUGCCUCCUGGUUCAAAGGUCCGCCGCCUGAGGAUGGGUCUGCGGCCGAUUAGGUUGUUGUUGGGGUAACGGCCCAACAAGCCUUUGAUCGGUACGGGUAGUGAGAGCAAGAGCCCGGAGAUGGAUUCUGAGACACGAAUCCAGGCCCUACGGGGCGCAGCAGGCGCGAAAACUUUACAAUGCGAGAAAUCGUGAUAAGGGAACCCCGAGUGCCCGUAAAUUCGGGCUGUCCGCCAGUGCAAAUAGCUGGUGAAGAAAGGGCCG